Long non-coding RNA from Motacilla alba alba, 2644 nucleotides. RefSeq lists it as uncharacterized. NCBI's taxonomy places the organism in Eukaryota, Metazoa, Chordata, Aves, Passeriformes, Motacillidae. The record is from RefSeq and is a predicted model, not a curated record. The transcript is spliced from 3 exons.
ACUGUGCUGGUCCAUGGGGCAUGAGCUGCUCGACUCUCCCAUCCCUGCUGGCAAACUGGGGUCUGCAGCCAGAGCAGGCUCUGCUCCACUCAGCUGAGCGUUAAGCACGUGCUAAACAGAAGCAUGUGAGUCAUCCUGCUGACAUGAACUUGAGCUGAUGAACAGACUCCUGUGAAGGUUGCCAUGGGCUCACAUCCAUGUGUCCCUGAUGCAUAUUCAAUACCAGACCCCAUCUCACUCUCCAGAAGAGGACAGGAUGAAGUUCACAAGCCCAGCAGGUCCUGGCAGCAUCUGAUCUAUGUGGUUCACACUCAUGUGCUCCCACAACCAUUCAGUAUGUUUGUGAGAGAUGCAGUGCUGUCUGCAUUCUUUCUGAGCAUUUGCUCUCCUCUUGAUCCUCAUACAUGCUGUUGCUCUGUUGCUGCUCUGAUUUGAUUGUUGGGCAAAUCUUGUUUCUAAUAUGAUAAUGUGUUAUAUGAUUAUAUGAUCUAAUAUGAUUUAAUAUGAUCUAAUAUGAUCAUGGGAAAUCUUGUUUCUAAUAUAAUCAUGUGCACAGUCCUCACAUUCUACUUGAGUAAAAUUUCUAGCUGGAAAAAAGUUCCUGUAUCUGCCGAAGUAUAGAUUAAAAAAAGCUUAAAAACAUGAACAAAUUUUUUGAGGAAUUGUAAGAAAAAAAAACCAAAACCAAAACCAAACCACACCAAACCAAACCUAACAAAAACCAGAACAAAACAAAACAAAACCAAACCCAAAAACCCAAAAACACCCAAAAAAAAACCAAACCAAAAAAAAAAAAAAACCAAACCCUUUGUGGCUAGUACAAUGGUACAAUGGUGAAAUGUUUUAAAAUAGAACAAAAACUCAGCAUACUUUGGCAAUUUCAGGUUCCAGUACUAAUAUAAACAUCUUUUUACCUGAAGCAUGAAAAUGUUUAUGGGGGUGAUGUUUCUUGAAGAGCUGUCAGUUAUUACUAAGAAAAACAGAGACCCAUCUUUUUCAAGUUCAUAGCAUGGCAUUGGGUAUAGCAAUGAAGAAAUUAUGAGGUCUGAAGUUAUCUUUACUGUGCUUGCACAAAUCUGAUUCACUUUACUUUCAGUGGAAUUACUCCAGAUUUACACCGAUAUGAGGAAACAAUUCACCUUGCCUAGAUUUUUACCUACACAAAACAAAAUAAAUGCCAAUCUCAAACUCUGGACGCCCUUGACUGUGUUUGAAGAAUAUUAAAUAAAACUGACUAGCUCCAGCAAUUACCUCCAAAUCAUGAUACCUUAGAAUAGCAUAAAUGUAGCAAAAAUUUAAUUAGUCACACCAAGAAAAAUCACUAACUUUUUUGCUUGCUAAAAGUGAAAUAUCUCUCCUCUUUGUGAUAAUGUCAAUGUUAUGGGUAAGACUUGGAAUCUUGUUGUAUAUGAAAGCAAUAUAUACAGAAGAGGCCAUUUAUCAGCUAAAGACAAUAAAUACCAUGGCUAAAUUCAUAGGCUGAGACAGAGAAAACAGUACAGUUUUUAUGAGCAUCUUUGCAGGACUGUACAAAUAUAUUAUGCUGACACUCUAUGGAUAUAUUUACCUACAUGAAAAUAAACAUACAUCUUAAUCUAAAUCUUAAAACUGGAUGUAAAGCAAAGCAAAGGGGUAUUAAGAACAUGAAACUUGAAGGCACUGCAUUUAUUGACUGUCUUUUUCCAAGAGAAAAUCUGAGGAAAGGGCUAAGAGAAACUGGUCUACUGGGAAAGCGGUCACACCCCUAUUUUUUGGGAACAGUCUGAGUGAUCCACCUGAGAUCUUUUGGAAAGAAGCUUAUCUGACAGGAAAAUCUAUUCUGUAGCAAGCACCAGUCACUGACCAUCAGGAAUAAUCAACCUUCUUCAAAGCAAUUCCACGAUUCCCUCAGGAGGUCACUAGGUCCAGCUUUAUUAAGGGAUCUCAGAAGUAUAAAGUGGUGAGCUAUGGGGGCACUGUAUUACAUUUCCAUCACAAAGCUCAUAAGCCAUCAGUGCACAUGCCUUUGGACUGCUGUUUGCAGCCUGUGCUCUGGUUCAAAUCUGGUUUGUGAGCAUCUUCCUCGAACGUGGCCUCUCCUUGAGGAGGAAAAAAGCUGUGAUCAGAAGAGCCAGUCACGUGCAGCUCUUAGGGCCUGUUCCUGCCAGCUCUCUACAGGCUGUUGUAAUGAGCUUGGCUUUUCUGAGAUGCUCUUUUCUCUUCUCACUAUUCUUGUGGUUACCCAGGAAUGUCAACAUCCUCAUGCUGAAAUUGCAACAACAGUGUAAAAGCUCUUUCACAUCAAGGACUGAGAAUGAAACAGAGGGAAGAAAAUAAGAGAGAAGAAAAAAAGGAAAGGGAAAAAAAAACAAAAUUAAAAGGACAAGCUGUAUCUAUUUUCAUGUCUUUGUUUGGUUUUGUUUGUUUAUUUGUGUGUUGUAUUUUCCUGGAAAGAAUGUUCACUUAAAGAAGAACUUUGUUUAGAAUUGGUGAAUAGUGUUGAAAAUCCAUCAGCUUCUAGUAACAUGCCAGGUACAUUUUAGUCCAUUUUAAGCCAUAAAUUAUUUGGUCUGGAAUGGAUUUAUGUAUGUUCUCUAUGAAAUCAUUCUCAGAAUGGACAGAAUUAAUUUGUAAAUAAAAUAAUCUGUGAAAGAACAUUGCAUAA